GUAAAAUACGGUCAUGCGUGGGCCCUCAUCCAAGAUGCCUGGUCUCCUUAUAAAAAGAAGAAAUUUGGACACAGACACGCACAGAGGAAGGACCAUGUGAGGAAGCACGGUGGAAGGCGGCGUCUACAAGCCAAGGAGAGGAGCCUCCAAAGAAAUCCCCCAUGCCGACUACUUGACCUUGGACAUCCAGCCUCCAGAACGGAGCUGUAAGCCCUUCGAGCCUCUGGUGCCCAGCCUUGUCGAUCUGCUUUGCCCUCCGAGGGUCGCAUCUUAGAAAGGGAGGGCGGGAGAAGGGCCAGGCUUAUGUCAUCUGGAGGGCACAGGGCUGGGCCAAGACAGCCUUGGUGUGGAGCCCCAGCCUGGCACCGAACCUGGGGGGCUGUGCAGCAAGAAAAGAGGAAGAGGAAGACCCCCAAGUAGGUAACUCUGAUGUUUUCUUUAACUUUUCAGGGUCUUAGGAGACCCUCCUGAAUGGGGCCUCAAGAUCUGGGGUGUCUGGAGCAGAGGGAGGAGCCUGGCUUGCUGGACAGCCCUGGGGUGGGAUCCCUGCUCAACUAGCUAUGUGGCCUUGGCCUCCCAGCCCACACCCCCUCUGCACAUGCGUCCUACACGCGGACACGAAGUCGAAGAUGCACCUCCAGCUUCCAGGAAACAGUCAGGAUUUCCGGCUCCUUCGCCUUCCUCUGGUCAUCCGGAGACGGCUGCAGAGACCCGAUCCAGGGAAGGGCGAGGCGUCUGGGCUUUGAUGUCAGACGGACCUGAGCUGGAAUCUGUCUUGUUCAUUUUAAACUGUGUGCCCUCAGCCAGGUGACUUCUCUGCUCCUCCUCCGAAAGGGGGACAACAAUGGCCCUCACCUCCAGGGGUCGCCAGGGAACCCUGCUGUGCGUGGUGAGUGGCAUCCUCUAUUAUUGGUGUGAAAGAUGAAGAUGGCCUGGUGCCUGGUGUGCUGAUGGAGCAGUGGGUGCUGCAGGGGGAAGGGAGCCAGGCCGUCCCCUGCACAGCUCUCCACAGGCUCUGGGACACAGGCACACACCUGAGCCUUUGGCAACAUCAACCAAGUGCUCAGCACACAGUGGAUGCUCAGUCCAUGCUGAUCCCCACUCCCGCAGCCUCUCAUGGUAGGUCCAAGAGGCCCCCGCACUUCUUUGGGCAUCACAGUCAUCAUUGCCUUCUGCUCAGCCCUUUACAGUGUUCAAAGGGCUCCAGGGCUCCUUCAGCCCCUAGGACAGCCUGUGGGGCCUGGUUCCCACGCAGGGGAGGGAAUGCAUCACGGGGGCUCUCCUUGGCUUCAUCAACGUGGCAGAGCUGGUAUGUGAUAGCAACUAUAUCCAUGCCGUUUGCUUCCUCUCCAUCAUUCAUCCAUUCAACAAACAUUUAUUGAGCACCUACUAUGUGCUCCGGGCAUAAGUGGUUAACAGGAGAGACUUGUCUUGACCUGUGGAUUUUAUGGUCUAGCUGGGAGAGAGGCUUGAAUAGACAACUACACAAGAGUUUCUGAAUCACGCAGGUGGUGAAAGCUGUGACUGGGAAAUGCAGGGAGUGUACUGGGACGACCCAGCCUCCACCGAGGGGUCAGGGAAGGCCUCCAUGAGGACGAUUUCAACCUGAGUACCCCCAGAGCAGAGCCUGAGGCAGAGACUUGGCUUCGAGGAGAGGGGACCCCGGGGAGCAGCAAGGAGGGAGAAGGGAGGUGAGAGGGGGCUGGAGGAAAGCCAAAACAAAGAUAUGCUGAUAAGAUCCUUACUGUGGGCUAUGGGGCGGCUCCCCCAGGCCACCUGAGGAGGGGGCAGAGGGCCUCCUGGCAGUGUCCCCCCAAAGGGAGGGAGGAGCUUGGUCCCUGUGGGAGGCCCAGCCAGCUUCCCCAGUGUCCUUCCCUUGGAAGGAGCCCGAGGGUGGCCAUCCAGCCAGCCCUGGCUGGGUGAGAGCUGGACCCAGAUGGGUCGGUUACAGGAGGUGGCAUUUUCUAUACAGCUUGGCGGGCCUGGGGAGAA
This is a long non-coding RNA of Equus caballus (horse), 1992 nucleotides long. Lineage: Eukaryota; Metazoa; Chordata; Mammalia; Perissodactyla; Equidae. The record is from Ensembl.